UACAGAGGUCCCGAGCGUUGUUCGGAUUCACUGGGCGUAAAGGGUGCGUAGGUGGCAUAGAAAGUUUGAUGUGAAAGCUCAGGGCUUAACCCUGAAAUGGCAUUGAAUACUGCUGCGCUGGAGGUUUGGAGGGGGGACUGGAACUCUUGGUGUAGCAGUGAAAUGCGUAGAUAUCAAGAGGAGCACCAGUGGCGAAGGCGAGUCCCUGGACAACACCUGACACUGAGGCACGAAAGCUAGGGGAGCAAACAGG
Molecule: ribosomal RNA, 253 nt
Filed under: uncultured bacterium
Lineage: Bacteria
Description: partial 16S ribosomal RNA
Rfam family: Bacterial small subunit ribosomal RNA
Source: RNAcentral